AUUGAACGCUGGCGGCAGGCUUAACACAUGCAAGUCGAGCGGAGCGAGGGUGCUUGCACCUUAGCUUAGCGGCGGACGGGUGAGUAAUGCUUAGGAAUCUGCCUAUUAGUGGGGGACAACAUUCCGAAAGGGAUGCUAAUACCGCAUACGCCCUACGGGGGAAAGCAGGGGAUCUUCGGACCUUGCGCUAAUAGAUGAGCCUAAGUCGGAUUAGCUAGUUGGUGGGGUAAAGGCCUACCAAGGCGACGAUCUGUAGCGGGUCUGAGAGGAUGAUCCGCCACACUGGGACUGAGACACGGCCCAGACUCCUACGGGAGGCAGCAGUGGGGAAUAUUGGACAAUGGGGGGAACCCUGAUCCAGCCAUGCCGCGUGUGUGAAGAAGGCCUUUUGGUUGUAAAGCACUUUAAGCGAGGAGGAGGCGCUCUAGGAUAAUACCCUAGAUGGCGUGGACGUACUCGCAGAAAGCC
Molecule: ribosomal RNA, 468 nt
Filed under: Acinetobacter sp. oral taxon C51
Lineage: Bacteria; Pseudomonadati; Pseudomonadota; Gammaproteobacteria; Moraxellales; Moraxellaceae
Description: bacterial SSU rRNA
Rfam family: Bacterial small subunit ribosomal RNA
Source: RNAcentral